AACUGCGAAUGGCUCAUUAAAUCAGUUAUCGUUUAUUUGAUAGUACCUUGCUACAUGGAUACCUGUGGUAAUUCUAGAGCUAAUACAUGCUGAAAACCCCGACUUCGGAAGGGGUGUAUUUAUUAGAUAAAAAACCAAUGCCCUUCGGGGCUCCUUGGUGAUUCAUAAUAACUUAACGAAUCGCAUGGCCUUGCGCCGGCGAUGGUUCAUUCAAAUUUCUGCCCUAUCAACUUUCGAUGGUAGGAUAGUGGCCUACCAUGGUGGCAACGGGUAACGGGGAAUUAGGGUUCGAUUCCGGAGAGGGAGCCUGAGAAACGGCUACCACAUCCAAGGAAGGCAGCAGGCGCGCAAAUUACCCAAUCCCGACACGGGGAGGUAGUGACAAUAAAUACUGAUACAGGGCUCUUUUGGGUCUUGUAAUCGGAAUGAGUACAAUCUAAAUCCCUUAACGAGGAACAAUUGGAGGGCAAGUCUGGUGCCAGCAGCCGCGGUAAUUCCAGCUCCAAUAGCGUAUAUUAAAGUUGUUGCAGUUAAAAAGCUCGUAGUUGAACCUUGGGUCUGGCUGGCCGGUCCGCCUCACCGCGAGUACUGGUCCGGCUGGACCUUUCCUUCUGGGGAACCCCAUGGCCUUCACUGGCCGUGGCGGGGAACCAGGACUUUUACUGUGAAAAAAUUAGAGUGUUCAAAGCAGGCCUUUGCUCGAAUACAUUAGCAUGGAAUAAUAGAAUAGGACGUGCGGUUCUAUUUUGUUGGUUUCUAGGACCGCCGUAAUGAUUAAUAGGGAUAGUCGGGGGCGUCAGUAUUCAGCUGUCAGAGGUGAAAUUCUUGGAUUUGCUGAAGACUAACUACUGCGAAAGCAUUCGCCAAGGAUGUUUUCAUUAAUCAGGGAACGAAAGUUAGGGGAUCGAAGACGAUCAGAUACCGUCGUAGUCUUAACCAUAAACUAUGCCGACUAGGGAUCGGACGGUGUUCUAUGAUGACCCGUUCGGCACCUUACGAGAAAUCAAAGUUU
RNAcentral lists this ribosomal RNA (1012 nucleotides) under Sagenomella ocotl. RNAcentral's name for it is "SSU rRNA". It matches the Rfam family "Eukaryotic small subunit ribosomal RNA", at positions 85 to 1106 of the family's 1831-position model. Lineage: Eukaryota; Fungi; Ascomycota; Eurotiomycetes; Eurotiales; Trichocomaceae. The record is from RNAcentral.